Molecule: ribosomal RNA, 207 nt
Filed under: uncultured bacterium
Lineage: Bacteria
Description: partial 16S ribosomal RNA
Rfam family: Bacterial small subunit ribosomal RNA
Source: RNAcentral
UGCGUAGGCGGUGCUCUAAGUCGGAUGUGAAAACUCUGGGCUCAACCCAGAGCCUGCAUCCGAAACUGGAGUGCUAGUGUUCUGGAGGGGGUAGCGGAAUUCCUGGUGUAGCGGUGAAAUGCGUAGAUAUCAGGAGGAACACCGGUGGCGAAGGCGGCUACCUGGACAGAAACUGACGCUGAGGCACGAAAGCUAGGGGAGCAAACA